This 422-nucleotide ribosomal RNA is filed under the name uncultured bacterium. Its description in RNAcentral is "bacterial SSU rRNA". It matches the Rfam family "Bacterial small subunit ribosomal RNA", at positions 362 to 776 of the family's 1533-position model. The record is from RNAcentral.
UUUUGCGCAAUGCUCGUAAGAGUGACGCAGCGACGCCGCGUGAAUGACGAAGGCCUUCGGGUCGUAAAGUUCUUUCGACAGGGAAGAAAAUGCCUAUAAGUAACUGUGUAUGUAUUGACGGUACAUGUAUAAGCAGCCCUGGCUAACUCCGUGCCGGCAGCCGCGGUAAUACGGAGGGGGCGAGCGUUGUUCGGAGUGACUGGGCGAAAAGAGCACGUAGGCGGUGUUGUAAGUCAUUAGGCAAAGACUAGAGCUCAACUUUAGUAAGGCUAGUAAUACUGUAAUACUAGAGUAUCAGAGAGGAUUGCAGAAUUCCUGGUGUAGCGGUGAAAUGCGUAGAUAUCAGGAGGAAUACCGUUAGCGAAGGCGGCAAUCUGGCUGGAAACUGACGCUGAGGUGCGAAAGCGUGGGUAGCAAACAGG